This 1992-nucleotide ribosomal RNA is filed under the name Nanobdellota archaeon. RNAcentral's name for it is "bacterial SSU rRNA". It matches the Rfam family "Archaeal small subunit ribosomal RNA". The record is from RNAcentral. Lineage: Archaea; Nanobdellati; Nanobdellota.
AUUCCGGUUGAUCCUGCCGGAGAUCACUGUUAUCAGGGUUCGAUUAAGCCAUGCGAGGCGAGAGGUGAAAGACCUCGCCGAACUGCUCAGUAACACGUAGCUAACCUAAUCUUAGAUGGAGGAUAAUCUUGCGAAAGUGAGGCUAAUACUCCAUAGUUGUCGAAUACUGGAAUGUAUCAACAAUAAAAGCUUCGGCGUCUAAGAAUGGGGCUGCGGCGUAUCAAGCUGUUGUGAGUUUAAACUACUCACAAACUUAUAACGCGUAGGGGCCAUGAAAGUGGGAGCCUCGAGAUGCCUUCUGAGACAUGAAGGCAGGUCCUACGGGACGCAGCAGGCGCGAAAACUUUCCAAUUCAUUAGCGUGUGAGAAGGGAACCCUGAGUGAUUAUGCACAGCAUAAUCUUUUCUUUAGUCCAAAAAGCUAGAGGAAUAAGUGGUGGGCAAGACAGGUGCCAGCCGCCGCGGUAAUACCUGCGCCACAAAUGGUGAUCACGAUUAUUGGGUCUAAAGCGUCCGUAGCUGGUUUAUCAAGUUCCUGGUGAAAUCUGGCAGCAAACUGUCAGGCAUGCUGGGAAAACUGCUAAACUUGAGAUCGGGAGGGGGUGGGGGUAUUCUGUGAGUAGGGGUUAAAUCCUUUAAUCCACGGAGGACCACCGGUGGCGAAGGCGCCCACCUGGAACGAGUCUGACAGUGAGGGACGAAAGCGUGGGGAGCAAAACGGAUUAGAUACCCGUGUAGUCCACGCUGUAAACGUUGUCCGCUUGUCGUCACGAACUCUACGUGAGUUUGUGGUGACGGAGCGUAGGUGUUAAGCGGACCACCUGGGGAGUACGGCCGCAAGGUUGAAAUAGUAGAAGUUCCAUUAAUCAUUUAUAUGAAAAUAAAACCUGAUUUGGCAUAUCUUGUUGGUGCUUUGAGAGAUGGCAGCGUCUUCUAUGAAAAAUCAAGCCGCAAUUAUAUCGCAGUUUGGUAUGAGGAAGAUAAACGAUGGUUGAAAGAAUCCAUUUCUAAACGUUUAAAUAAAUUGUUUGGAAAACCUGGAUGGUUGUUAAAAUAUAAACAAAAACAUCAUCGUAUUAGAUUUUCAUCAAAGCUGGUGCAUAAUAUGUUAAUUAAUGAGUUUGAUUUUAUAUCACCGCAAAAAUAUUGGUCUACACCAAAAAUAAUCAAGCAUGCAAAUAAAGAUAUCAUAAAAAAUUAUAUUGCUGGAUUUUUUGAUGCUGAGGGUGAUAUAAGUAUAAAAGACAAAUCUCUUGGAUUUAGUCAAAAGAAUAAAGAAUCCUUGAAAUUUAUUCGUAAUUGGCUAAUAAAUAACAAAAUAGAAUGUAGCAAAAUUUUUAUUGCCGAUAAAAAAUCAGAAACAAACAGGUUUUAUAUUUCUAAAAUAAAUAAUCUUUUAAUAUUUAGGAGGCUCAUACCAUUUGAGCAUCCAGAUAAAUUACAUUUAUUGGAGCUUCUAUUACAACGAACUUAAGGGAAUUGGCGGGGGAACACACAAGAGGUGGAGACUGCGGUUUAAUCGGAUUCGACGCCGAAAAUCUUACCAAGGUUGACAGCAGAAUGAAGGUCAGGCUAAAGGUCUUACCAGACACGCUGAGAGGUGUUGCAUGGCCAUCGUCAGCUCGUACCUUGAGGCGUGCCGUUAAGUCGGUUAACGAGCGAGACCCACGCCAUCAUUUGCUACCACAUUUUAUCUUUGGAGUAAUCCGAAAUCAAAAAUGUGAGCACUAUGUUGGGACCGCUGCUGAUAAAGCAGAGGAAGGAGUGGGCAACGAUAGGUCCGUAUGGCCCGGAUACCUUGGGCUACACGCGGUCUACAAUGACUAGGACAAUGCGAUGCAACUCCGAAAGGAGAAGCUAAUCGCCUAAACCUAGCCUCAGUUCAGAUUGAGGGCUGUAACUCGCCCUCAUGAAGCCGAAAUCUCUAGUAAGCGAGCGUCAUAAAGACAGAAAGUUCAUUAAAUCUAUAAAUAGUAGUUACCGAUAUAUUUAU